GUUAAGCGACUAAGCGUACACGGUGGAUGCCCUGGCAGUCAGAGGCGAUGAAGGACGUGCUAAUCUGCGAUAAGCGUCGGUAAGGUGAUAUGAACCGUUAUAACCGGCGAUUUCCGAAUGGGGAAACCCAGUGUGUUUCGACACACUAUCAUUAACUGAAUCCAUAGGUUAAUGAGGCGAACCGGGGGAACUGAAACAUCUAAGUACCCCGAGGAAAAGAAAUCAACCGAGAUUCCCCCAGUAGCGGCGAGCGAACGGGGAGCAGCCCAGAGCCUGAAUCAGUGUGUGUGUUAGUGGAAGCGUCUGGAAAGGCGCGCGAUACAGGGUGACAGCCCCGUACACAAAAAUGCACAUGCUGUGAGCUCGAUGAGUAGGGCGGGACACGUGGUAUCCUGUCUGAAUAUGGGGGGACCAUCCUCCAAGGCUAAAUACUCCUGACUGACCGAUAGUGAACCAGUACCGUGAGGGAAAGGCGAAAAGAACCCCGGCGAGGGGAGUGAAAAAGAACCUGAAACCGUGUACGUACAAGCAGUGGGAGCA
This 540-nucleotide ribosomal RNA is filed under the name Escherichia coli. Its description in RNAcentral is "bacterial LSU rRNA". It matches the Rfam family "Bacterial large subunit ribosomal RNA", at positions 1 to 581 of the family's 2925-position model. Lineage: Bacteria; Pseudomonadati; Pseudomonadota; Gammaproteobacteria; Enterobacterales; Enterobacteriaceae. The record is from RNAcentral.